GAUGAACGCUAGCGGGAGGCCUAACACAUGCAAGCCGAGCGGUAGAGUUUCUUCGGAAACUUGAGAGCGGCGCACGGGUGCGUAACACGUGUGCAACCUACCUUUAUCUGGGGGAUAGCCUUUCGAAAGGAAGAUUAAUACCCCAUAAUAUAAUGAUUGGCAUCAAUUAUUAUUGAAAACUCCGGUGGAUAGAGAUGGGCACGCGCAAGAUUAGAUAGUUGGUGAGGUAACGGCUCACCAAGUCAAUGAUCUUUAGGGGUCCUGAGAGGGAGAUCCCCCACACUGGUACUGGGACACAGACCAGACUCCUACGGGAGGCAGCAGUGAGGAAUAUUGGACAAUGGGUGAGAGCCUGAUCCAGCCAUCCCGCGUGAAGGAUGACGGUCCUAUGGAUUGUAAACUUCUUUUGUACAGGGAUAAACCUACCCCCGUGAGGGUAGCUGAAGGUACUGUACGAAUAAGCACCGGCUAACUCCGUG
Molecule: ribosomal RNA, 479 nt
Filed under: uncultured bacterium
Lineage: Bacteria
Description: partial 16S ribosomal RNA
Rfam family: Bacterial small subunit ribosomal RNA
Source: RNAcentral